This is a small nucleolar RNA of Oryza rufipogon (brownbeard rice), 96 nucleotides long. It matches the Rfam family "Small nucleolar RNA Z157/R69/R10". From Rfam's summary of the family: Z157, R69 and R10 are members of the C/D class of snoRNA which contain the C (UGAUGA) and D (CUGA) box motifs. Most of the members of the box C/D family function in directing site-specific 2'-O-methylation of substrate RNAs. The record is from Rfam. Lineage: Eukaryota; Viridiplantae; Streptophyta; Magnoliopsida; Poales; Poaceae.
GUUGGAGCGGUGAUGAGCAAUUUUUUGUGGACUAGAGUUUCUGAUACUACUUUUGUAGUAUUUGAAGACCAAACCCUUGGCUGUCUGAGCUCCUCA